Molecule: ribosomal RNA, 398 nt
Filed under: uncultured bacterium
Lineage: Bacteria
Description: bacterial SSU rRNA
Rfam family: Bacterial small subunit ribosomal RNA
Source: RNAcentral
GGAAUCUUGGACAAUGGGCGCAAGCCUGAUCCAGCCAUGCCGCGUGAGUGAUGAAGGCCCUAGGGUUGUAAAGCUCUUUCGGCGGGGAAGAUAAUGACGGUACCCGCAGCAGAAGCCCCGGCUAACUUCGUGCCAGCAGCCGCGGCAAUACGAAGGGGGCUAGCGUUGCCCGGAAUCACUGGGCGUAAAGCGCACGUAGGCGGAUCUUUAAGUCAGGGGUGAAAUCCCGGGGCUAAACUCCGGAACUGCCUUUGAUACUGGGGAUCUCGAGUCCGGGAGAGGUGGGUGGAACUGCGAGUGUAGAGGUGAAAUUCGUAGAUAUUCGCAAGAACACCAGUGGCGAAGGCGGCUCACUGGCCCGGUACUGACGCUGAGGUGCGAAAGCGUGGGGAGCAAAC